RNAcentral lists this long non-coding RNA (2090 nucleotides) under Orbicella faveolata. RNAcentral describes it as "uncharacterized LOC110043491". The record is from RNAcentral. Lineage: Eukaryota; Metazoa; Cnidaria; Anthozoa; Scleractinia; Merulinidae.
UUUAGGGGUAUGGAAGGUGGAAAUUUGACAAGGAGUUAGACGAAAGAUGAUAUGCCAGAGUCAAAAACCUUAAUUAAACUCUAAGUUAAAUAUGCAACAAAUUUAAGUGUAUUUACAGGUUACGCAGCUCGAAGUUUUCCUGCAUAACAGUAUGUUAGGGAGUAAAAAUCAUAAUAUUCAAAUACGUGUCUUCGUUCCAGCUCUGUGAUGCACUAUUUAUAUUACUAUAAUUUCCUGAAAAUAAUUUCAUAUAUUUGUCCCAAGAAAUAAACAGCGACAAUGUUCACAAUUUUGUUCACAUUUGAGGAUUGUGUAAAAUAAGGGCGCUGUUUCCGUUCACAAGAAAUCAAGAAAACUGGCUUGAAAGAAAUUACUUAAACUACUUUUCCUAAUACAAAACUAUUGAUGUAAUAGAAAAUAAGAACAAUCUUCACUGUUGGCUUCAAAUAUACUUAGUUUAUGAGCUUUUAUUCUGGAGAACGUCUUGAAAACAGAUAUCGUGUGAUUCCGUGACGGGUCUCACGAAAUAGGAAAGUCACGAAAGCUUGAAAGUUCCGUUUCAGCGAACACGACAAUUUUUUUUUUUUUUUAUGGAAAAUGGUUGAAAAACACCAAGAGAACAUUCAGUAAAGGUUAUCUCGUUUGGAUAAACCUUUUCACAAUGCAAUUAGCUCACCAGGGAAGAUAAACUGUAGAAAAAUGCACCAUUUUGUCGUUUUUUGUUUUUGCGUGAUGAGCGAGUAUGACGUGACACGAGUAAACCCCGCCCAAUAACAAAUGCCAAUCUACUCUUGUUUACUCACUGAGAUAAAUAGUCAUAUAUGGGGCAAUCGAAGUCAUUUUGACAGUAAUAAAUACACCUGGUUGUGCUAGCGGCCAGUCGUUGUCAAAUCCUCCUUAAAGUAGCCUCUUGUAAGCUCGGAACUUUGUGCAUUACUGUUGUACGAUGUCGCUGAAAGCUUGUUCAAGAAUUGUUCGUGCUUGUGGUGUCGCCAGUUCUCCACAGUUUCUUGCAAGGUCUCUUCCUCGUCGACUUGGUGAGCGAAGCUUGUACCUCAAGCAAGAUAAAAGAGCUAGCACUAAGGAAGAGCUUGGCAUGUUUAUCUUUGGUCUUGGUGCUCUUUCAACCGCUGUUGUUUGGGGAAUAAAGGACGGUGCAUUUUCAUUAAACAUGACUCCAGCUGAACGAGCCAAGAUGGAGGCAGGAGAGGAAGGAUCUGCAGAAUGAAUUAGAGAUCAAGCCUUGCUAAAUCACUGAGUUGCAGCAAAUGUCGUGAAGCUGUAUUUGCACUCGUUUCAUUUGACUCAUUGUAAUUCGUUGUUAUAUUUCAGAUAUUAAUUUUUUUUAAGAUAGUUUGGGUUUAUAGAUGUGGACAUUGUAAUGUAGUCACUGUAAUAUAUAUACAUCAGGUUAAAUAUUGUUAUAGCUCAAGUUAAUGAGGUAAAAUUGUAAUGCACAACAACUUAUGCAUAUAUCUGUUGUUGUGUACUGUAACUGUUUCUUAUAAUAUUUGUUUUAUAUUGUUAAAAAUUAAAAUAAAAAUUGUUUUAAAUAAUGUAACCUUAUGGUUUAAACAGCCAAUCCAGGAUUAAGUUUCUUAACUGUAUUAACUUGUGGGUAAAAUUGCAGUGCUCAAAGCAGGGUUAGUUGGUGGGUUACUUAACCUCUGUUUAGGGUAGAUUAACUCCCCAUAUUUCGUAUCCCAUGAUACUCUUUGUUGGUUUUUAAAUGCCCAGACUUGCUCCUCAUGUACUCGUACAUAUAAGUAAUGAAUAUUUAGAAUAAUGACAGUUUAAUAGCAAACAUGACAUGAAUUUAAUAGCAAGGAAAUAGACGUAGAGGAAUUAUAUGAUAUAAACUUAAAUCAAUUUUUAAGAUCAGCUUCAAUUUGUUAUGAAAAGUGACCAUUUAGUUAAUCAGUAGGUGUCUUUCCAUAACAAUAGUCUAAAUUCUGAGUUGUAAAGCAACUGAUUAUACACUUGCUAAUCAGUUAAAUUGCUUUGAGAAAUAUUAUAAAAUAAUAUUAACAGCAGCUUUUAAUAGAAUUAAAGGGUCCUUAUGGAUACUUUGAAUAGUAGAAAAAUUUUCA